GAACGCUGGCGGCGUGCUUAACACAUGCAAGUCGAACGGUAAGGCCCCUUUUUUUGGGGUGUACGAGUGGCGAACGGGUGAGUAACACGUGAGUAACCUGCCCCAGACUUUGGGAUAACAGUUGGAAACGAUUGCUAAUACUGGAUAUGAGCUGCUGCCGCAUGGUGGUGGUUUGAAAGUUCCGGCGGUUUGGGAUGGGCUCGCGGCCUAUCAGCUUGUUGGUGAGGUGAUGGCUUACCAAGGCUUCGACGGGUAGCCGGCCUGAGAGGGCGACCGGCCACAUUGGGACUGAGAUACGGCCCAAACUCCUACGGGAGGCAGCAGUGGGGAAUAUUGCACAAUGGACGGAAGUCUGAUGCAGCAACGCCGCGUGCGGGAUGACGGCCUUCGGGUUGUAAACCGCUUUCAUCCAUGACGAAGCUUUUGUGACGGUAGUGGGUAAAGAAGCACCGGCUAACUACGUGCCAUCAGCCGCGGUGAUACGUAGGGUGCGAGCGUUGUCCGGAUUUAUUGGGCGUAAAGAGCUUGUAGGCGGUUUGUCGCGUCGGGAGUGAAAACUCGGAGCUUAACUUUGAGCUUGCUUUCGAUACGGGCUGACUUGAGGGAGGUAGGGGAGAAUGGAAUUCCUGGUGGAGCGGCGGAAUGCGCAGAUAUCAGGAGGAACACCGGUGGCGAAGGCGGUUCUCUGGACCUUUCCUGACGCUGAGAAGCGAAAGCGUGGGGAGCGAACAGGCUUAGAUACCCUGGUAGUCCACGCCAUAAACGGUGGGUACUAGGUGUGGGGGACAUUCCACGUUCUCCGUGCCGUAGCUAACG
RNAcentral lists this ribosomal RNA (816 nucleotides) under uncultured Propionibacterium sp. RNAcentral describes it as "bacterial SSU rRNA". It matches the Rfam family "Bacterial small subunit ribosomal RNA", at positions 31 to 857 of the family's 1533-position model. Lineage: Bacteria; Bacillati; Actinomycetota; Actinomycetes; Propionibacteriales; Propionibacteriaceae. The record is from RNAcentral.